UGGUGAACGCACAAAGGAGAAAGCCAGGU
This 29-nucleotide non-coding RNA is filed under the name Homo sapiens (human). The record is from RNAcentral. Lineage: Eukaryota; Metazoa; Chordata; Mammalia; Primates; Hominidae.